Molecule: long non-coding RNA, 1278 nt
Organism: Onychomys torridus (southern grasshopper mouse)
Lineage: Eukaryota; Metazoa; Chordata; Mammalia; Rodentia; Cricetidae
Exons: 3
Source: RefSeq, a predicted model, not a curated record
CGGAGCGGCUGCGUGAGUACCAGAGCGGUUUCUGCAGACGCAGCGCGCUCCCCCAUCUCCAUCUUCCCUGUCUCCCUGGCCCGGCUGAACCUCUUAAAUUUUCUGCCUGAGCCCCACAGUCGCCCUUCGGUUUUUGAACGUAUGCAUUCCGGCUACGUAAACAUGCCUCCUGCGCGGUUAGGGGGGCUCUGGCUGCUCUUUCCUCGAAGACCCCAGACAUCUGGACCAGCCCCAAGUGGAUGGCCUCCAUUGAGUCCUGCCCAACCCUGUUUUCACAUCCUGGACUCUGGUCUACCGGUGGAACAUCCAGUCAGUGAGGAGUGCUAGAGAUGCUGCCAAUAGCCUGAGGAACUGGAUCUCUGAGAGCUGGAGGCCUGGGCAAAGGUCACACAGCCCCAAGGACAAGAGAAACUUCUGAAUUAUCUCUUAGCAGUUAAGUCCAAAGCACUGAAGUAUUUCUGCUCUGAAAGCAGGAUGGAUCAGAAGAGGAUACUGCCAUAUUGCCCUGAGCAUGCUCCAUCUCCUCUGGUCCUGGAAAUGACCAGGUCUGGACCAGGUCUGGGACUUGGAUGGGAGAGUGGAGGAGAGAUACAACUGUAUACACCUUUGUUCAUGGCCUGCCACAAUGUCCAUGCUCAACCAAACACAGGAAAUCUUCCUGAAGUCUCUUUUCCUGGUACACCCUGCUCCCCCUGCUUGGGUUAUAGUUACAUAAAACAUCCACAAAGCCAAAAACAACGAUGGAUUAUUUGGAGGUCUGCACUUGUUACUGGAUCUGUUACUUAGGUUGUUUGACACCUUGGUUAUUGCCUCUUUCCAAAGUCUCUCCCAGCCUUGAAUAUCUCUGGGUCUAGGCAUCUGCCCUCAGACUCUCCUCCCUAGCCCAGGUUUCUGCCUCUGACUUCACCUCGGCAAGAGACAUGGAACUGUUUUUUCUGGGGUGCAACCAGGCAAAAUUCUGACUCACGGCAGGCUCGUCUCUGAAAAGAAGGAAGAAAUAGCAGUGACAAGAACAGCUACUGAGGGGAGCUGGAAAUACUUGCUGAUCUGAGGUGACUUGAGGAGAUUCAGUCUGGGAAGGCCAUCAAACCGUACCUCUGUGAUAAGCACAUUUCUUCAUAUGUACCCUACACAUUAGUGUUUUCAAAGAUCCAGAAGCCACCGCUAGUGGUUCACACCUGUAUUGCCAACACGCCAGAGCCCAAGGCAAGAAGAUGGCAAGGCUGAGAUCAGCCUCAGCUAUACAGCAAGCACCAAGUCAGCCUGGGCUUUAUAGCA